AUUGAACGCUGGCGGCAGGCCUAACACAUGCAAGUCGAGCGGAUGAAGGGAGCUUUCUCCUGGUUUCAGCGGCGGACGGGUGAGUAAUGCCUAGGAGUCUGCCUGGUAGUAGGGUAUAACGUCCGGAAACGAGCGCUAAUACCGCAUACGUCCUGAGUGAGAAGGAGGGGGAUCUUCGGACAUCACGCUAUCAGAUGAGCCUAGGUCGGUUUAGCUAGUUGGUGGGGUAAAUGCCUACCAAGGCGACGAUCCGUAACUGGUCUGAGAGGAUGAUCAGUCACACUGGAACUGAGACACGGUCCAGACUCCUACGGGAGGCAGCAGUGGGGAAUAUUGGACAAAGGGCGAAAGCCUGAUCCAGCCAUGCCGCGUGUGUGAAGAAGGUCUUCGGAUUGUAAAGCACUGUAAGUUGGGAGGAAGGGCAGUAAGUUUAUACCUUGCUGUUUUGACGUGACCAACAGAAAAAGCAACGGGUAACUUCGUG
This 484-nucleotide ribosomal RNA is filed under the name uncultured bacterium. Its description in RNAcentral is "partial 16S ribosomal RNA". It matches the Rfam family "Bacterial small subunit ribosomal RNA", at positions 30 to 507 of the family's 1533-position model. The record is from RNAcentral.